This 490-nucleotide ribosomal RNA is filed under the name uncultured bacterium. RNAcentral's name for it is "partial 16S ribosomal RNA". It matches the Rfam family "Bacterial small subunit ribosomal RNA", at positions 30 to 507 of the family's 1533-position model. The record is from RNAcentral.
AUUGAACGCUGGCGGCAUGCCUUACACAUGCAAGUCGAACGGCAGCAUGAUCUAGCUUGCUAGAUUGAUGGCGAGUGGCGAACGGGUGAGUAAUACAUCGGAACGUGCCCUGUAGUGGGGGAUAACUAGUCGAAAGAUUAGCUAAUACCGCAUACGACCUGAGGGUGAAAGUGGGGGACCGCAAGGCCUCAUGCUAUAGGAGCGGCCGAUGUCUGAUUAGCUAGUUGGUGAGGUAAAGGCUCACCAAGGCGACGAUCAGUAGCUGGUCUGAGAGGACGAUCAGCCACACUGGGACUGAGACACGGCCCAGACUCCUACGGGAGGCAGCAGUGGGGAAUUUUGGACAAAGGGCGAAAGCCUGAUCCAGCAAUGCCGCGUGUGUGAAGAAGGCCUUCGGGUUGUAAAGCACUUUUGUCCGGAAAGAAAUAGCUCUGGUUAAUACCUGGGGUCGAUGACGGUACCGGAAGAAUAAGGACCGGCUAACUACGUG